This is a long non-coding RNA of Triticum dicoccoides, 2553 nucleotides long. RefSeq lists it as uncharacterized. The transcript is spliced from 10 exons. NCBI's taxonomy places the organism in Eukaryota, Viridiplantae, Streptophyta, Magnoliopsida, Poales, Poaceae. The record is from RefSeq and is a predicted model, not a curated record.
UUGCUGAAUGAUUGGUUGUUGUGGCUUAACACUGCCUCUGCCGGUCCCAAGCCCGGAUGUGAAAAUGUGGAGGGAGUCUGUUUCUUGUGUGCAAGUGCUACAUUGUGUGUGUGACUGUAUGUGUGAUGUGUCCGUAUCUAUGUCUGUUUCUUUUGUCUUGAUUGUGUGCAAGUGCUUGAUUGGGUGUGUGCUUGUGUGACCUGCGUGUAUUGCAUUUGCUUGACGGUGUGGUUUGUAUAACUUGUGUUUUAUAUGUCAGGAUUGAUUGUUGUUUGUUGAAUUUGAACAGAUCUAACACUAUUCUUUUUUCUAAACUUUUUUGUGAUUAUGAAUGUGGAUACCAUACUCUUUUGUAUUAUUGUUGUCCAAUCACUGGAAUAAUGCUUUUCUAAGUAUUUAAGGUACAACCAUGUAGAUCUAGACAUGAUGCUGAUGGGUUGGGUUUGCAUACAAUGCAGUAUGGACCAACAAAAUGGUCUCAUUGCAAGGUGGACAUAUAGGCAAGACAUGUCAAGAGAGAGAGAAGCUUGGACUAUUGAGGAGGAACAUGCACUGAUUAAUGCCCAUCGGGUAUAUGGGAAUAGAUGGGCAGAAAUAGCAAAAGUUCUUCCUAGAACGAAUCGGGUACUUCUAUUUGUUCUUAGGUUCUUCUCACCUAUAGCUAAAGUCAAAGACGACAAAACCAAGUGGAUUAUUGGAGUUACAAGAUACACAAAAUCAUCGGUCAUCUAAAUCUUCUUUUCUAAUAUGACUGUUGGUGCUGCUCAUGAGGCUAGCCACCGGCUUGGAAGCGAUGAGAGGCAAUCACUGUUGUCAACUUGAAACGUAUAAUUUUUUAGGAACGAAGAUCUGAAUCACCCUCCCGCCUCGAGAGAAAUCAGUUUAGUCAUUCAGAGAGAAGCUUGGACUAUUGAGGAGGAACAUGCACUGAUUAAUGCCCAUCGGGUAUAUGGGAAUAGAUGGGCAGAAAUAGCAAAAGUUCUUCCUAGAAGGAAUCGGGUACUUCUAUUUGUUCUUAGGUUCUUCUCACCUAUAGGUAAAGUCAAAGAAGACAAAACCAAGUGGAUUAUUGGAGUUACAAGAUACACAAAAUCAUCGGUAAGUUUCUAUCCUUUCAAAUGGGCGGAUUAUGAAUUUUGAUCAGUUUGUCUGACUUGUUUUGAACUGAAUCCUUGAUUCCGUGAUAACUUUGAUCAUAAACUGAUUCCCAAGUAUUUUUGACUCAUAUGAUGCUUAUUACUCCCUCCAUUCCUUUAUAUAAGGUGUAUUUAUUUUUUGAUAAAAUUCCAUAAUGUAAGGUGCAUUUCUUCUAAUUCCUCAUAAUUCCCUUAUUAGACAUCUAGAAAAAUGGAAAGUAUCCCUCUCCUGAUUGUCUGUAUCUCUCCUUUAGCAAAAGAAGGAAAGUAUCUCUCUGUCGAUUGCAUGCAUCUCUUACUUUCCUGGACUAAUUGAUUUACUUACCACUAAUCAACAAAUUUGCCAAGGGUAUUUCAGUCCUAACAUGUCUAUAAUUUCGUGCCUUGGUCACCGUGCUGAAAAUAAUACACCUUACAUAAUCGUAUGGAGGGAGUACAUCACAGGUCAUCUAAAUCUUCUUUUCUAAUAUGACUGCUUGUGCUGCUCAUGAGGUAAGCUACUUUUCUUGCUUUCAAGAAUAAAUCAUUCACAUCGUGGUCACUCACAUUUUAAGGUGCUCAUGCCAUUUCAGGCUAGCCACCGGCUUGGAAGCGAUUUUAGGAACGAAGAUCUGAAUCACCCUCCCGCCUCGAGAGAAAUCAGUUUAGUCAUUCAGGUUCUGGUAUUUCUUUAUAGCUUUCUGAGUUUACCUCGGUCUUUCAUGUAUUUGCUUUCUGUUUGUGCCCCUAUCUAUUUCUGUUUCUUGUGUGCAAGCGCUCCAUUCUGUGUGUGUCCGACUUUGUGUGGCUUGACUCUCUUGUGUGUGUGGCUUGACUGUCUGUGUGUGUCCGACUUUAUGUGGCUUGACUCUCUUGUGUGUGUGGCUUGACUGUCUGUGUGUGUCACUGUGUGUUUGACUGUGUGUGAAUAUUGCAUUUGACUGUGAUGCGUUACUGUGUGUUUGACUCUGUGUGUGUGAUUGUGUGAAUAUUGUGCAUUUGACUGUGAUGUGUGACUGUGUGAGUAUUGUAUUUUGACAAUGACUGUGUAUGGCUUGACUGUGUGUGUGGCUUGUAUGCUUUGCUGAAUGAUUGGUUGUUGUGGCUUAACACUGCCUCUGCCGGUCCCAAGCCCGGAUGUGAAAAUGUGGAGGGAGUCUGUUUCUUGUGUGCAAGUGCUACAUUAUGUGUGUGACUGUGUGUGUGUUGUGUCUGUAUCUAUGUCUGUUACUUUUGUCUUGAUUGUGUGCAAGUGCUUGAUUGGGUGUGUGCUUGUGUGACCAUGCGUGUAUUGCAUUUGCUUGACGGUGUGGUUUGUAUAACUUGUGUUUUAUAUGUCAGGAUUGAUUGUUGUUUGUUGAAUUUGAACAGAUCUAACACUAUUCUUUUUUCUAAACUUUUUUGUGAUUAUGUCUUAUGUGGAUACCAUACUCUUUUU